Gadus morhua (Atlantic cod) is the source of this 497-nucleotide long non-coding RNA. The record is from Ensembl. NCBI's taxonomy places the organism in Eukaryota, Metazoa, Chordata, Actinopteri, Gadiformes, Gadidae.
AUAUGAAAUUAAAAGAAUAACAGUUAGAAAUAUUUAUGUUAAUACAUGAUUCUCAUGGCAACAGGGAAUGAGACCGGCUGCAUAAGUGUACUGACUCAUUUAUGUUUGUUAACAGAGAAUUAUAACGACAUCUGCUGUAGAGUCCCAACCCCCUGGGACCUGCAAACAACAAUGUCACAAAGAAGGAUUUCAAUGUUUUUUGCUCCAAAAGUGGUUGGCAGCCAAGGAGGUAUGAUAGCAGAUAAGGAUGCAGUCAGGGUUCAUGCAGGAGACCAAAGGGAGGAGAGUGCAAGUUCAGCUGUCAAGAAGGUUGGAGAAACCUCGAGCUGUCAAGAUGCAGAAGAAACAUAAUUGUACCUCAUGCUUACUAAAUCAAUGAUUUCUUUUCUAUGUGGUCACAGAUGAUCUAUCUUAUCCUUACAUCACCCUUAAAUCCAUGUUUCAAAUAAAUAACACAAUAUAGAGUUAGCUUUCCAAAACAAACAUUAAUGUCAACA